Molecule: ribosomal RNA, 690 nt
Filed under: uncultured bacterium
Lineage: Bacteria
Description: bacterial SSU rRNA
Rfam family: Bacterial small subunit ribosomal RNA
Source: RNAcentral
GAUCAUGGCUCAGAUUGAACGCUGGCGGCAUGCCUUACACAUGCAAGUCGAACGGCAGCACGGGGGCAACCCUGGUGGCGAGUGGCGAACGGGUGAGUAAUGCAUCGGAACGUGUCCUCUUGUGGGGGAUAACCAGUCGAAAGACUGGCUAAUACCGCAUGAGAUCGAAAGAUGAAAGCGGGGGACCGCAAGGCCUCGCGCGAGAGGAGCGGCCGAUGCCGGAUUAGCUAGUUGGUGGGGUAAAAGCCUACCAAGGCGACGAUCCGUAGCUGGUCUGAGAGGACGACCAGCCACACUGGGACUGAGACACGGCCCAGACUCCUACGGGAGGCAGCAGUGGGGAAUUUUGGACAAUGGGCGCAAGCCUGAUCCAGCCAUGCCGCGUGUGUGAAGAAGGCCUUCGGGUUGUAAAGCACUUUCGGACGGAACGAAAUCGCGCGGUUGAACAUUCCGCGUGGAUGACGGUACCGUAAGAAGAAGCACCGGCUAACUACGUGCCAGCAGCCGCGGUAAUACGUAGGGUGCGAGCGUUAAUCGGAAUUACUGGGCGUAAAGGGUGCGCAGGCGGCCCCGCAUGUCAGGCGUGAAAUCCCCGGGCUCAACCUGGGAAUGGCGCUUGGAACUACGGGGCUGGAGUGUGGCAGAGGGAGGUGGAAUUCCACGUAUAGCGGUGAAAUGCGUAGAGAUGUG